UACGGAGGGGGCAAGCGUUGUUCGGAAUCACUGGGCGUAAAGGGUGCGUAGGCGGGUCUUUUAAGUCAGGGGUGAAAUCCUGGAGCUCAACUCCAGAACUGCCUUUGAUACUGAAGAUCUUGAGUUCGGGAGAGGUGAGUGGAACUGCGAGUGUAGAGGUGAAAUUCGUAGAUAUUCGCAAGAACACCAGUGGCGAAGGCGGCUCACUGGCCCGAUACUGACGCUGAGGCACGAAAGCGUGGGGAGCAAACAGG
RNAcentral lists this ribosomal RNA (254 nucleotides) under uncultured bacterium. Its description in RNAcentral is "partial 16S ribosomal RNA". It matches the Rfam family "Bacterial small subunit ribosomal RNA", at positions 524 to 776 of the family's 1533-position model. The record is from RNAcentral.